GUUCAUGGCCUUACUGCCCUGAAUGUGCCGGCUCUCGUCUGAUCUCAGAAGCUAAGCAAGGUCGGGCCUGGUUAGUACUUGGAUGGGAGACCGCUGGGGACUGUCAAGUGCUGUAGGCU
Molecule: ribosomal RNA, 119 nt
Filed under: Callithrix jacchus (white-tufted-ear marmoset)
Lineage: Eukaryota; Metazoa; Chordata; Mammalia; Primates; Cebidae
Source: RNAcentral